RNAcentral lists this ribosomal RNA (370 nucleotides) under uncultured Pantoea sp. RNAcentral's name for it is "bacterial SSU rRNA". It matches the Rfam family "Bacterial small subunit ribosomal RNA", at positions 536 to 905 of the family's 1533-position model. The record is from RNAcentral. Lineage: Bacteria; Pseudomonadati; Pseudomonadota; Gammaproteobacteria; Enterobacterales; Erwiniaceae.
AAGCGUUAAUCGGAAUUACUGGGCGUAAAGCGCACGCAGGCGGUCUGUUAAGUCAGAUGUGAAAUCCCCGGGCUUAACCUGGGAACUGCAUUUGAAACUGGCAGGCUUGAGUCUUGUAGAGGGGGGUAGAAUUCCAGGUGUAGCGGUGAAAUGCGUAGAGAUCUGGAGGAAUACCGGUGGCGAAGGCGGCCCCCUGGACAAAGACUGACGCUCAGGUGCGAAAGCGUGGGGAGCAAACAGGAUUAGAUACCCUGGUAGUCCACGCCGUAAACGAUGUCGACUUGGAGGUUGUUCCCUUGAGGAGUGGCUUCCGGAGCUAACGCGUUAAGUCGACCGCCUGGGGAGUACGGCCGCAAGGUUAAAACUCAAA